CAUAUGGAUUCCUACGGGAGGCAGCAGUCGGGAAUUUUGGGCAAUGGGCGAAAGCCUGACCCAGCAACGCCGCGUGAGGGAUGAAGGCCUUCGGGUCGUAAACCUCUGUCGAGAGGGAAGAACGAUCAGCGGGUGAACAGUCCGCUGGUCUGACGGUACCUCCAAAGGAAGCGCCGGCUAACUCCGUGCCAGCAGCCGCGGUAAUACGGAGGGCGCAAGCGUUGUUCGGAAUCACUGGGCGUAAAGCGCGUGUAGGCGGCCUGGCAAGUCGGGUGUGAAAUCCCGGGGCCCAACCCCGGAACCGCAUUCGAAACUGCUUGGCUGGAGUCCCGGAGAGGAAGGCGGAAUUCCCGGUGUAGAGGUGAAAUUCGUAGAUAUCGGGAGGAACACCAGUGGCGAAGGCGGCCUUCUGGACGGUGACUGACGCUGAGACGCGAAAGCGUGGGGAGCAAACAGGAUUAGAUACCCCGGUAGUCCACGCCGUAAACGAUGGGUGCUAGGUGUUGGAGGUAUCGACCCCUUCAGUGCCGUAGCUAACGCAUUAAGCACCCCACCUGGGGAGUACGUUCGCAAGAAUGAAACUCAAAGGAAUUGACGGGGGCCCGCACAAGCGGUGGAGCAUGUGGUUUAAUUCGACGCAACGCGAAGAACCUUACCUGGGUUUGAACUGGAGAGGACAGCCUGUGAAAGCAGGUUUCCCGCAAGGGUCUCUCUAGAGGUGCUGCAUGGCUGUCGUCAGCUCGUGUCGUGAGAUGUGGGUUAAGUCCCGUAA
RNAcentral lists this ribosomal RNA (772 nucleotides) under uncultured bacterium. RNAcentral describes it as "bacterial SSU rRNA". It matches the Rfam family "Bacterial small subunit ribosomal RNA", at positions 328 to 1092 of the family's 1533-position model. The record is from RNAcentral.